CAGGUCUCACUAACAGCUGAAUAGGCAGGCCUCCAUGACAACUGUUUCAGCACUGACUGAGUGGUUAAGAUAAAUAUUAAAAACUGAUGGGGCCAAUGUCCUCAUACAAAGGCUGGAAUGUAACAAAACCCACCAAGAGUUUUGCCUAGGUCUUCCCUGGGCCUUGAAGUAUGACAAGAUAACGAAGGAAUUCCUAACAGGACCCAUUUAGGAUUAAACAAGUUUUAUUGGGGGUCUAAAGGAACUCCCUAGACCUCCACAAACAAGCUUUACUGGGGACUAAAGGAACCUCCAUGAUUUAGCAGGAGACAAGAUAAGGGUAAUCACCCUGGCACCUGGACCCAUUUAGAUUAAGAAAAUUUACUAAGGCUCCAGAGGAAGGUCUUCAGUACUCAGAUUUUAGUUAUAGGUUAGAAGUUGAUUACUUGGCCGGAUGGGGUGGCUCACGCCUAUAAUCCCAACACUUUGGAAGGCCGAGGCAGGUGGAUCACCUGAGGUCGGGAGUUUGAGACCAGCCUGACCAACAUGGAGAAACCCCAUCUCUACUAAAAAUACAAAAUUAGCCUGGCAUGGUGGUGCACACCUGUAAUCCCAGCUACUUGGAAGGCUGAGGCAAGAGAAUCACUUGAACCCAGGAGGCAGAGGUUGCAGUGAGCCGAGAUCGCGCCAUUGCACUCCAGCCUGGGCAACAAGAGCAAAACUCCGUCUCAAGAAAAAAAAAAAAAAAGUUUAUUACUUAUGUCUUUAGAUGAAUGCACACUUACAUACUUACACAUAGACAUAUAGCUUAGAAGGUGUAUAAGCUCUGGAAAACUUUAUAAUUUUGAGUUGGUCUGGCAAUAUUUCCCAGCCUUCUCUCUGUACCUAGUUAUAUAAAUAAACUCCCUUCUAUCCAGUUCAUCUGCAUCUCAUUAUUGGGCCAUGAGAAUAAGCAUAAAACAAACCUUCCUUUGAUGCUGGUAUCUAAGCACCAAAAAAUAGAUACCAGCAUCAAAAGAAGGUUUGGAUACAACCUUCUUUCAUUUUGUUUGGAUACAAGGAGCUAGUUUGGGUCUGCUCCUUUAAUGUAUCUAUGCUCAUAUUUUCCUUCCUCAAUUAUAAAAUAAAGUAGAGGUGAACACUGUGGUUAGCCAUAGAUUAACCAAGAAAGCAGAAAUCAUCUCAAAUGUUCACAGCAGAAGGAAUGGAAAGCAGUGGUGGGUCCAUGAAGAGUGGAGAGGCUGAGAAUUAAACAGAGGGCUCUAAAAUAAUCCUGGGAGAUUGACGAUAGCAGGAAGUCUUUAUCAUUCUUGGGCUGGAGAGACAAAAGGAAAACAUGGAAUUACUGGCACCAAGAGGACCACUCUGGGAGACUGGAUCUCUGGUGGCCUCGAUACAAUGGGGGCUGGAGUCACAGAGAAGAUAAAGCCACUGGAGAGGCCACCUUAGGCUGAAAACAGGAGGGAGUGUCUUGAUAGCUCCCUCCCCCAAAAACCGCUCCUCACCCUGCUCUCUAAUUUUCCAUGGUUGAUAUAUUCCUGCUGCCCGUUGACUCAGUCCUUUCAGAAAUUCUCUAGAGCCUGAAAAAGUCACCCUGCCGAGGAUCAACUUCUUCACCCCAGAACAAGGCAGAGCAGAAGGAUGGAUCUGAGUGCAAACAGGUCCAGGACCAGCACACCAUAUGCCGACCUUGAGAAGGAAAUUCACUGAGCCAUUCCUUACGAGUGUUCCCAGGAGAAACAGGAAAGUGAGAAGUCAAGUCGGUCCAAGAAGAAUAAAGAGGCCAAGCCCAGUUGCAUAUCAGCAAUCUCACAGAGAGAGCUGCCUCAGUCCCUCGAGGCACAGUGACCCAUGAUAUUCAAGGUGGUGGCUCCUUUGUCAGAUGAAUUCCUGAGUGACCAUAAGCAGAGAUCUCCUAACGACCCAUGAUGGGUAGUGUGAGCAAGUAUGAACCAUCUAGUGGAGCAAGAAAUAGUGCCUAUAUAAGCACUGAGAUUUGAGGAUGGUUUGUUACCAGAGAAUUGCCUACCUUAUCCUGACUGAUAAUCAGAUGUAAUAAUAUACCUCUGACUGGUGUUGGCUCCAUCAUACACCAGGGAAACAGCUGUUGUCUAGUACUUAUAACAUGUAACUCAAAACCCCUGGUUUAAAUGAAUUCCUGAGUGCAUUAUGCAUAACAUUUGUAUAAUUGGCUUUUGUAAACAAGACAUUGCUAUAGUUCUUCACAGAAUUAUGCUAAUAUCGAUAGAUUAUUCUUCAUUUAUCUUUAUCUGUUCUGAGCGACUGAAAGAGGAAAGAUUUGUUAUGAGAACACAUAAAUACAGUAUCAUGAAAGGGAAAGAAAAAGUUCUGUUUUGCGGAAGGCAUUAGUCCCCUUUGUUAGUCAAAUGAAGAGAGACUAUUCAUUAUACUUUAAUCUUAAGGAAUCCAAGAUUGCUAAACUAAUGGAUGACAUGUGACUAAGGAAUGAAUUAGUUGAACUUUAUUCUAUGAGUUGCCACCAUGAACUGUGCAAUUAUAGCCAGGUCCUUUAAAUGCUUUGAAUGUUUUUCAUGUGCGGAUAAGAUUAUUUCAGACCUACCAGGCCUUGAAGAAGGAUCAAAGUCUUGUCAGAGCUUUUGCCUAAAAUUGAAAAUAUCAUGUUACUUGGACUAUUUAUUUAUCCCUGCACCUUGUUGCAAAAAGGAUUUUAAGUAGAUGGCAUAUUAUUAUUUUAUUAACACAUUAAAAAAAACCCAUAAGAGGAUUAUAGAGUUUUUCCCUAACCUACUUCUCAGAGUGUUUUAAGCACACUGUAGAAUUUAUUCACUCAUGAAUUUGAUACAAACUAAAGUGAAAAUCUCUUCUCUGGAACCUCAUAAUGCUUAGAAAGCAUAGUAACACGUUCGGAGAAAGAGGAAGAUCAAAUUUAGAGGAAGCUCUUGUUUGAGUUUCUGCCACAAUGAGUUUCCCAUUCUAGAUAUUAAAAUAAUAGUAUAUACCCCAAAUAAAAUACUCAAGUUUCUGUAAAUUAAGGAUUAUGACUUGAUUAUACAUAUUUUAGAUUUAGAGCAUGCAUAAAAAAAUAUCUUUUUCACCAACUAGUAGAAAAAAAUUCAAAAUAAUGUGAUGAUUUUAAUCUUCCAUGAUAUGUAAUCUAAAAUAUCAAAACAUCACUGACUUUGCAUUAUAAUUAAAUAUAAAAGGUGACUGACUUAAGCCAAAUUUAAAAAAAAAAAUUGAGACAAGGUCUGUGUCAUCAGAGGUGGUAAGCAGUAGUGCAAACACAGCUCACUGCAGCAUUGACCUCCUGGGCUCAAACUCUCCUCCCAUCUCAGCCUCCCAGGCAGCUGAGAUCACAGAUACACACCACCACACCCAGAUAAUUUUUUUUUUUAAGUAAGGACAAAAUCUCACUAUGUUGUCCAGGUUCCAAAUAAAUUUUAAGAGCCUAAUUUUAACUAUUCAAAAACUAAGCAAAUACCUGAAAAUUAUUUCUUCUGAAAAACACAUACUAAAUAAAAAUCUAUUAUACUUAUGGAUUUUCAGAGGUCUUCAUAAGUAUUAACUCAUAAAUUCUUGUGGCUUUCCCAAUUGUCACAUGUCUCCUUUCAUGAAAUAUUUUGUAAAUUUUUACUAUGGUAUUGGACAGAGCAUGAACCUCAGAAUUGCCCAAAUCUGAGUUCACCGACUUAAUCAAGCACAUAUUAAUAUAUAAUCUUGGAUAAUUUAUCAAUUUAAACUGAAGAGCUUUAUCUUCAACAUUUCUAAAUUAUGCGUGUUAUAAACAAUAAAUCAGGUUAUUCCAUUACAUUUAAUAACUAGCAACCCACACUGUGAUAAGUGUCAGUAAUGCAACAGCACGGUAAUAUAUAGGCAAAGCACCAACCAGAAAUUAAGUAUCUGUUGAAUUUCUCUCUACUCUCCUUUUCCCUCAACCAAUUCCUGAAUAAAUGUAGGGAGAAACAGGAAUGUUUUAAGAAAUCUUCUUCAACUAAUAUGAAAUAGGAUAUCUGAAGACUCAUCCUUCUGUCUUCCUAGUCUAUAGUUUGUUCCACAGCUAUUUUUGUGACUAAAGAUACUAAAAUUAGACAUUAUUUUUAUCUCUAAAUUUCAAGGCAGUUGUUAAGAACUAUGACUAAACUACCAAAAUAAAGAAACAUAGAGGAAUAAUGAACAUUGACUACAAACUAAACUGAUUGUCACAUAUUCUAUGUGGUGAUUUGAGAGACUGCUUCUCAUACACUGUAAUUCAAUGAAAAAAUAGCAUAUACAAAAUGAUUACUUAGUAAGAAAAAUUCAAACUUAAAACGAGUUGUCAAUGUGACAUGCCAUGUUAGAAAUGAAUAAUAAAAUGUGUGCCAAGGGCUAAGUAAGGCAUUUUUCCCUUUUUUUCUCUUUUAAAAAGGACUACAAAAGAGCAGUUUUUUUGGUUAAAAGAAUUAAUGAAAAUUGCUAAAUCAAUGACGCUUUCAGAAGUUCCCUGUUUUUGACAUCAGAGUCAUAUUAUAAUGCUCUAUUUCCUGUUUCCUCACCUAAACAGAAUUUUGCUUCAGGCAAUUUUUUAUCUCAACUUCUGUUUGUAGAAACCAGGGACAUUUAUUGAAUUGUUUCUGGCUGGCUAUUUGAUCGUAACAAAGCAUUUAAAUGAUACUGAUGCCCUGGCUUGAGCAACGGAGCAUCCCAGACUUUCAGUUAGUUGCACACAGCACACAUACAACUCAUUUGAGUUACAGCUAAAUGCAAUUACAGGCCUCAGAGCUAAUAUAUAGAUCACUUCUUAUUUAAGGCAAUUCACCUUUGAAUUGGUUAACCUUUAAUUGUUCAUAAAAUAAUAAGAUGGGAAACAAAGUUGCUACCCAAUAUGUUAGUUUCCCCAAAUAAACACUUAUUUAAAGGUUCAUUUGUUAAUCAAGUAUCUGGAAGUUGAAAUACAUUUUUAUGAAAGGAAAUAAAUUUUAGGUGAUGAUUAGGUUUUUAUCAAGAGCUGAAGUUUUUAAUAACGAACAGGGAGAGAUACUAUGGCAAAACAGUAAUUGAAUAAAACAUAAAUUCAAUAAAAUGAUAUGAAAAAUCAAUGUUUGACAUUUAUUGUGCAGUGCUGGCUGGGUGCAGUGGUAUGAGCCAUACCACUGUGUACAUCCUCAUCUGUCUACCAAAUAUGGCCCCCAGGCAGUUUGCUCAAGGUCACAUACUGGUGGAACAAUAAUUAGAAACAUUUUAUCAUCCUCAAUUUAAUUCUCUUUAUAUUUGACUCAGGAUAAAUGUCAAACAUUGAUUUUUCAUAUCAUUUUAUUGAAUUUAUGUUUUAUUCAAUUACUGUUUUGCCAUAGUAUCUCUCCCUGUUCAUUAUUGGUAUGAGCCAUAUCACUGCACCCAGCCAGCACUGCACAUUUUAAGUGUAUGUUCUAUGAGUUUUGAGAAAGGUAUACAUGCAUGUAACCACCUUGCUAAUCAGGAUAUAGACUAUUUCCAUCACCCUCAAGGAGUUCCCUUUUGCAUUUUGCAGUCCAUCAAUCUUCCUCUACCCCUUAGCUCAGACAACCAUGAAUCUACUUUUUGCCAUUAUAGAUUAGAUUUUCCUGUUAUAAAUUUUUAUGCAAAUAAAAUAAUAUACAAAAUACUUAUUUGUGUCUGGCUUCAUUAACAUAGGAUAAUGAUUUUGAGAUUAUUGAUGUCAAUCAGUGUUAUCGUUCAUUAUUUAUUUCAUUGUUGGAUGGUAUCCCAUUAAAUUGAUAUACCACAAUUUGCUCAUCAAUUUACUUUUCUGUUUU
Molecule: long non-coding RNA, 5732 nt
Filed under: Homo sapiens (human)
Lineage: Eukaryota; Metazoa; Chordata; Mammalia; Primates; Hominidae
Description: HSALNT0217146
Source: RNAcentral